GAGGCGUGGCUUCCGGAGCUAACGCGUUAAAUMGACCGCYUGGGGAGUACGGCCGCAAGGUUAAAACUYAAAUGAAUUGACGGGGGCCCGCACAAGCGGUGGAGCAUGUGGUCUAAUUYGAUGCAACGAGAAGAACYUUACCUGGUCUUGACAUCCACAGAACUUUCCAGAGAUGGAUUGGUGCYUUCGGGAAYUGUGAGACAGGUGCUGCAUGGCUGUCGUCAGCUSKUGUUGUGAAAUGUUGGGUUAAGUCCCGCAACGAGCGCAACCCUUAUCCUUUGUUGCCAGCGGUYAGGCCGGGAACUCAAAGGAGACUGCCAGUGAUAAAYUGGAGGAAGGUGGGGAKGACGUCAAGUCAUCAUGGCCCUUACGACCAGGGCUACACACGUGCUACAAUGGCAUAUACAAAGAGAAGCGACCUCGCGAGAGCAAGCGGACCUCAUAAAGUAUGUCGUAGUCCGGAUUGGAGUCUGCAACUCGACUCCAUGAAGUCGGAAUCGCUAGUAA
This 507-nucleotide ribosomal RNA is filed under the name bacterium. RNAcentral describes it as "partial 16S ribosomal RNA". It matches the Rfam family "Bacterial small subunit ribosomal RNA", at positions 834 to 1341 of the family's 1533-position model. The record is from RNAcentral.